RNAcentral lists this ribosomal RNA (324 nucleotides) under uncultured eukaryote. RNAcentral describes it as "partial 18S ribosomal RNA". It matches the Rfam family "Eukaryotic small subunit ribosomal RNA", at positions 1470 to 1796 of the family's 1831-position model. The record is from RNAcentral.
CCCUUAGAUGUUCUGAACCGCACGCGUGUUACACUGAUGCAUUCAACGAGCUUUACCUUGGCCGAGAGGCCUGGGAAAUCUUUUUAGCAUGCAUCGUGAUAGGGAUUGAUUAUUGCAAUUAUUAAUCAUGAACGAGGAAUUCCUAGUAAACGCAUUUCAUCAAAAUGCAUUGAUUACGUCCCUGCCCUUUGUACACACCGCCCGUCGCACCUACCGAUUGAGUGGUCCGGUGAAUAAUUCGGACUGCAGCAAUGUUUGGAUCCCGAACGUUGCAGCGGAAAGUUUAGUGAACCUUAUCACUUAGAGGAAGGAGAAGUCGUAACA